CUUGGCGGCAACAUCGACGGAGACAGAAGUAGACGGAGGAGGCUCCUCCUCCUCCGCGGAUCCAUCGCUUCCUCCUUUUCUCUUGGAAAGCACGUCCUGGAGAUUCGAGACGAGCGCGGCCGACAAGCCGUUGUUCUUCGAGGUCAUCGUGUCGAAAGAGAGAGCACGCAGAUGAGGUGGGUCCUGUCUUGAAGACGAAGAAGAAAGUUGAGAGAGAGAGAGAGAGAGAGCGGGUCUAACGGAGGAAAGAGAGAAGCUUUAAUUGGCAGAGAGAGAGAGAGAUUACUUGUGUCAACUGUUAUCUCUUUUUAGAUAGAGAAGAGGAAGGAAGAACAGUGACGCGCUAUUUUUUCCAACCAGAAAACAUAAAUAUUACAUUUAAGUGAAUAAAAUAUUUAUUUUAGUAAUAUUUUAGUUAAUUAGCCAUAUAAAUACAUAAACCUUAUAAUUAAAAUAAAUUAUUUGGAAUACUAUUUUUUACAAGUUAAUAUAACUCGUAAACUUUUACUUAUGCAUAUAAAGACCUGAACCUUGAAAUUAAAAUAAAUUGAUUAAUUUUUUUUUCUGGUUAGGGUCAAAAGAAUGAAACAUGUUAUGAAUGGUCCACAUCUAAUAAUUAUUCAGUUAUUAUGGUAUGCAUUUAAAGAUAUUGUGGAAAAUAAUUUGAACCGACAGCAUCAUAGUAUCAUGUUGGUUGAUAAUUAAAACUGUUAAUUGUUGCUAGAUCAUAUGCUACUGUAGUUUUUUUUUCUUAUAUCAAAAUAGCCUUUUGAUUUAAUUAGUUUUAGUUGCACUAUGUUAUUUAUGCUUUAUUACUGAAUUGGGUACAACCCAUGUUUGAAACUACGCUAGGGGCGAGUUGGGCACUCGACCGGAGCCUAGCGAGUUAAAAAAAAAUCGGAAAUUAAUCGACGAUUAAUCGGAUAUCAGUUUUGUGUAUCGUUCUCAGUUUUUUGAUAAAUGUAUAUAUUAUUACUCGGUUUACAUAAAGAAAAUCAAUUGUUAAUGUGGUCUAGUGGUCAUCUUGUGUCUUAACUGAGCGUCAGUUACCGAGUUCAAACUCAGUGUAGUGUUUAUUUUGCCUCUUUCAUUUUUUAUUCAUUAAUGGCACAUCUGUAAUUUUGUCAUCCUCUUCCUCCCGAUUUUUAGGUUACGGAGAAAAAAAUUUCCAUUUGUGACAAAAAAAUGAGAAAAUUUUCUCUAUUAUUUUUACGUUUCUCUGGCUGUUUAUGCAUCAAACUUGUAGAUCUAACAUAUUGCACCCGAUUUCAAGCUUCCGAACCCCAAAAACGUGAAUUAUUUUGGUGACUCCGAUUUAAUACCCGAGUUUGACGAAAUCGGUAUGCUUCACCACCGCACAGCGUAUUUCUGCCCUGCGUUAUCGGUCACGUUUUAGAACCUGGGGUACAACUACAUUAAAUAAAAUAUCUGAAGAACAAACUACAAUUUCUAUAUUUGUCUACUUGAUAGCUUAUUCUAGGUAAUAAAGUAUUUUUUUUAGUUAGGGUUGCAUUCUAUUACUAAUAAUUUAAAACUGAUUUAUGAAUGAAUGGAGGAAUAUUGUAGGGUCUCUAAGUCAAGUAACGAAUUAGAAAAUGUAUCAAUACGAGGGUAGUGUUGUAGAUGAGAUUAUUGUCUCCCUAACUCGUCCGAAGUCGUCAUGAUUGAAAAGACGCAGAAAGUACAUCGAAUGUCAUGCUCUUGGUAUGAAAUCAUUUCCCUUUUCUGAAAAGAACGUCAAGUACUAUUAGGGGGAAGAUGGCGAGGGAGAUGUUUGAAUAUAAUCUUUGCUACUAUAAGGACGGAGAUGUUGCAGACUACAGCAACUUGGAUAUGUACGUAGGCUAGUGAUGUGUAAUCUUCUCUCCUUUUGGUGCUUACUUUUGUUAGAACUCUUGGAUGUGUAGUUUGUAACCUCUUUUGUCCUCUUUUGUAACCUUGUAGUACGUUAACAAGGUAGGAUAUGAGUAACUUUUUUUGAAACCUAUCCUCCUACCAACUAGUUCGGUAGUGCAUCUAACAAGGAACUUGUUCUAUUGUUCAUAACAGAAAGUGUAUAAGUGAAAAGACGAUAGAAAUAAGUCAUAAAACAAGUACAUAAGUCAAAAGACAAUAGAAAUAAGUCAUAACACAAAUACAUAAGUGGAAAGACAAUAGAUGGUAAUAAGUCAUAACACAAUACAUAACAAAGCAAAUAGAAAGAUACGUGGAAGAGUUCUAGACGACUUUAUAACGACCUUCAGACGACUCACAUAAGAUUUGUUUCCAGAAGACUUGAUGAAGACCUUAUGACGACUCGUACACGACUUUCAGGAAGACUUACUUCUCAGAAGACUUUCACCUUGACUAUAAUUUUUUUCCAAACGUAUGUAAUUAUAUAAAUUUAUAAUCUGAAAUAAUCAAAUAGAUAAACCCCUUAAAAUAUAUAUUUUUAAUUUCUACAGUUUUCAUACAAAAUUCUCUUAUAAUUUAUUUAGUUAUACUAUAGAAUAGAUAUUUGUGUAGGAUAAUUUAUAUUUUCUUGUUGUGUUUAAAAAUAUACUUUAGCAUGUAUAUUUUUAGUACAUAUCUGGAUUUUGUAAGUAAUUAUUUUAUUAAAUUUUAUACAUGGUUUACGAAUUUAAAUAUCUUUUGAUGGUGAAUGAUAUUUUAAAUGAUUUUUUUUCAAAAAUAAAUAAGUUAAUUUAUUAAUUUAAUAUAAUUUUUCUAUUUAGUUCAUAUAGUACUUCUAUUUAGUUCAUAUAGUUUAGUUCAUGUAUAAUUGUUGAUUCGGGUUACAACAAAGAGACCGUUUUCGCAAGUAUAAAAACGCUCUUUACAAAGUCGUCUGAAGUCAUCAUGAAGUCUUCUCAUGUUUGUACUUGUAACAUACCAAUCAUGUUUCUGUGUUGUCAUACUGGAUAUAACCAGUAUUAGAUUGUUAAAACCACUUCGGAAAGCAAAGUAUCUAAAACAUUAGAACUUAAACAUCAGAACCAAGUCAGGAAAGUAGAAGCGGAAACAUGGGAAUACAAAAUGAAAGAAAUGGGCGUUGACAAUCCUGAAUCAUUUACUUAUAUGCGGCCGCCGUGAAAAAGUCUGGUCUCAUUAAUAUGCAUCCUCGUGAAGAUAUCCCUAGAUUUCGUGUGCUAGGUGCAACUGGCUGCUUCUGAUGAAGCUGUAACUCACCGUGUAGCUGUGACUCCAACACAUUAUCCACUAUCCCAUUCCGCUGUUUCCUCUUCCUAUUCCUCACAUAGGCCUGCACUGGCUUCUGAUGAAGCUGUAACUCACAGUGUAGCUCUUCUUCCUCGUUCGUUCCCGUCGGUUCCCGUAGAGGCUGUGUCUCAUCACGAGGCUGAAAAGAGGAACUUUGAGGCUGAAUAGGGGAAUAUUGAGUCUGUGACCGUAGCUCACCGUGUAGCUGUAACUCCCGCUCUUCUUCCUCGUUCAUUCCCGUCGGUUCACAUCUGUUCCCGUCCAUUCUCGUCUGUUCCUCUAUUCCGUUUUGAUGAAAAGAGGAAUCUUGUUGCUCAUUACCAGGCUGAAAAGAGGAAUUUUGAGGCUGUGGCUCAUCUUCCUCUUCUUCGUUUUGAUGAAAAGAGGAAUGUUGAGGCUGUGUCUCAUUAUCAGGCUGAAAAGGGGAGGAAUAUUGACCCUGUGGAUCAUCACGAGGCUGUCCUUUCAAAGCUUCCAAUUGUGCUCUUAAGUCAAAAAUUGCUUUGUCUUGUUGAUCGGAUUUCUUCUUCAAUAACUCCACUUCUCUUUGAAUUAUCUCAUCUUCUCCCACCUCCAGGUUUGUCUCUAAAUUAUCCUCAUUUCUUUCUCUUGUGUUCUCUUUGACUUCAACAACCCGGUUGGAUUGAUCUUUUUUUGUAGAGAUGAUCCCAGCAAAUUUUCUUUUGUUCCAUCAAAACAAGUUUCCAGUUGUUGAUGGUGGAAUAAUCUGUUUCGGGUUCUUGAACUUAUGCCACCAGAUGAUGCUCAUCAAUCGUAGGUAUCAAAAUAGACUCGAUGUUUGUAAAAAUAAAAAGCAAUAAGUCUUUCGUACGUCUUUCUUAAGUCUUUAAUGAGUUUUUCUGCCUCAUCCGCUUAUCAGUUGUACCAUCAUACCAAAAUCAAAUCAGCAUAUUAUACAACAUAUUAUGCAUUUCAAACUAAGAAACCAGCAUACCAAAAUCAAACUAACCUUAUCAGUUCCUAAUGAUCUCUAUACGCCAUUCAGUGAAAAGCUUUUUUCGCCUGUUUUGCGAAAUUCCAUCUUACACAUCCGUGGACAUGUAUUCACUGCUCCUCGUACAGGCAAUCGAUAUUUGCUCUUGAGGUUUGCAAUACAUUCAAAAGGAAAUAUCUGCAGAGUUCAAAAAUAAGUCAGUGAAUUCAAAGUCUUUGAUUCAGAAAGAAAGUACAACGCAGAAAGAAACCUCAAAGUCAGAAAGAAACCUCUUAGGGAGUAAUGAAGCAGGGUAAAUUCCAACUAUUCAAGGAAGGCUUGGAACGCUCUUUCAUCUUGUCUGCCAGGAUAUAUAAGCAGUACUUAAAUGACAGAGUGCCCCACGGAAAGGUCUGACACAGAUCUAAAUGGUUCACUAACUUAAGGAAGAAUGGGUCUAAAAGACAUUUUCCUUUAUUCUUCCUUCUUAUAAUGAUAGAUCCUAUGAAGUAUAACAAUGUCAUUUUCACAAGAUCUUCAUUAUCCUCAGCCAUUGACAAGAAUUUUUCUUCAACGUCUAACCGAUCAACCUUAUCUAUGUCUAAAAAGUUCCUAUGAGCGAAACUGAGACUUAAACUAUGCUUCUCUGCAAAGCUUUUCUUUGACGGGAGUUCAUCGCAGCACAAUCUCGUUAACAAGACAUGUUCCCUAAUGGAAUAUCUAACUGGGAUGCCAUUAACAACAGGUCACCACUGAUUAUCCUUGAUGUAAGCAGUUCUAAUAGCUAAAGCCCACAGUCCCAUGAGUUUAUGAGAGCUGUAUCUAGGCAUAUGAAAAACAUACUUAAAUUGUGGGUGAUGGUGAAACCAAGCAAUCUUAUCAUCCUUCAGCUUUGUCUCUAUUACAUCAAGUGUUUCCUUAACCCGGCACGACGUUCCCAUUCUACACAUCUGCCUAUAACAGGACGGAUCAAAUAACAUUUCUGGCGGAGGAACAGGCUCUGUACCUAUCGAACCCCUAGCAUAUCAACAUUCCAAAAUUUCAACCCAAAUCCACAACCCAAAUACAAACACAAAUCCACUAUUCAAUUGAUCCACUUACCUGUUGUCAGAGACUCCGACCAUCGAACUAGGGUUCCGGAGGUCUUCGGCAAUCGAACUCGAGUUCCGGGGGUCCGGAACCCUAGUUCGAUGGUCGGAGUCUCUGACAACAGGUAAGUGGAUCAAUUGAAUUGUGGAUUUGUGUUGUGUAUUUGGAUUGUUGAUUUGGGUUGAAAUUUUUGAAUGUUGAUAUGCUAAGGGUUCGAUAGGUACAGAGUAUGUUCCUCCGCCAGAAAUGUUAUUUGAUCCGUCCUGUUAUAGGCAGAUGUGUAGAAUAGGAACGUCGUGCCGGGUUAAGGAAACACUUGAUGUAAUAAAGACAAAGCUGAAGGAUGAUAAGAUUGCUUGGUUUCACCAUCACCCACAAUUUAAGUAUGUUUUUCAUAUGCCUAGAUACAGCUCUCAUAAACUCAUGGGACUGUGGGCUUUAGCUAUUAGAACUGCUUACAUCAAGGAUUAUCAGUGGUGGCGUGUUGUUAAUGGCAUCCCAGUUAGAUAUUUCAUUAGGGAACAUGCCUUGUUAACGGGAUUGUGAUGCGAUGAACUCCCGUCAAAGAAAAGCUUUGCAGAGAAGCAUAGUUUAAAUCUCAGUUUCGCUCAUAAGAACUUUUUAGACAUAGAUAAGGUUGAUCGGUUAGACGUUGAAGAAAAUUUUUUGUCAAUGGCUGAGGAUAAUGAAGAUCUUGUGAAAAUGGCAUUGUUAUACUUCAUAGGAUCUAUCAUUAUAAGAAGGAAGAUUAAAGGAAAAGGUCUUUUAGACCCCUUUGUCCUUAAGUUAGUGAACCAUUUAGAUCUGUGUCAGACCUUUCUGUGGGGUACUCUGUCUUUUAAGUACUGCUUAGAUAUCCUGGCAGACAAGAUGAAAGAGCAUUCGGAGCGUUCCAAGCCUUCCUUGAAUAGUUGGAAUUUACCCUGCUUCAUAACUCUUUUAGAGGUUUCUUUCUGACUUUGAGGUUUCUUUAUGCGUUGUACUUUCUUUCUGAAUCAAAGACUUUGAAUUCACUGACUUAUUUUUGAACUCUGCAGAUAUUUCCUUUUGAAUGUAUUGCAAACCUCAAGAGCAAAUAUUGAUUGCCUGUACGAGGAGCAGUGAAAACAUGUCCACGGAUGUGUAAGAUGAAAUUUCGCAAAACGGGCGAAAAAAGCUUUUCACUGAAUGGCAUAUAGAGAUCAUUAAGAACUGAUAAGGUUAGUUUGAUUUUGGUAUGCUGGUUUCUUAGUUUGAAAUGCAUAAUAUGUUGUAUAAUAUGCUGGUUUGAUUUUGGUAUGCUGGUACAACUGAUAAGCGGAUGAGGCAGAAAAACUCAUUAAAGACUUAAGGAAGACGUACGAAAGACUUAUUGCUUUUUAUUUUUACAGGACAUCGAGUCUAUUUUGGUACCUACGAUUGAUAAGCAUCAUCUGGUGGCAGAAUUCCAAGAACCCGAAACAUAUCAUUCCACCAUCAACAACUGGAAACAUGUUUUGAUGGAACAAAAGAAAAUUUGCUAGGAUCAUCUCUACGAAAAAGAUCAAUCCAACCGGGUUGUUGAAGUCAAAGAGAACAAAAGAGAAAAAAAUGGGGAUAAUUUAGAGAAAAACCUGGAGGUGGGAGAAGAUGAGAUAAUUCAAAGAAAAGUGGAGUUAUUGAAGAAGAAAUCCGAUCAACAAGACAAAGCGAUUUUUGACUUAAGAGCACAAUUGGAAGCUUUGAAAAGACAGUCUCGUGAUGAUCCACAGCCUCAAUAUUCCUCCCCUUUUCAGCCUGAUAAUGAGACACAGCCUCAAUAUUCCUCUUUUCAUCAAAACGAAGAAGAGGAAGAUGAGCCACAGCCUCAAAAUUCCUCUUUUCAGCCUGGUAAUGAGCAACAAGAUUCCUCUUUUCAUCAAACGAAAUAGAGGAACAGACGAGAAUGGACGGGAACAGAUGUGAACCGACGGGAAUGAACGAGGAAGAAGAGCGGGAGUUACAGCUACACAGUGAGCUACGGUCACAGACUCAAUAUUCCCCUAUUCAGCCUCAAAGUUCCUCUUUUCAGCCUCGUGAUGAGACACAGCCUCUACGGAAACCGACGGGAACGAACGAGGAAGAAGAGCUACACUGUGAGUUACAGCUUCAUCAGAAGCCAGUGCAGGUCUAUGUGAGGAAUAGGAAUAGGAAACAGCGGAAUGGGAUAGUGGAUAAUGUGUUGGAGUCACAGCUACACAGUGAGUUACAGCUUCAUCAGAAGCAGCCAGUAGCACCCAGCACACGAAAUCUAGGAAUAUCUUCACGAGGACGCAUAUUAAUGAGACCAGACUUUUUCACGGCGGCCGCAUAUAAGUAAAUGAUUCAUGAUUGUCAACGCCCAUUUCUUUCAUUUUGUAUUCCCAUGUUUCCGCUUCUACUUUCCUGACUUGGUUCUGAUGUUUAAGUUCUAAUGUUUUAGAUACUUUGCUUUCCGAAGUGGUUUUAACAAUCUAAUACUGGUUAUAUCCAGUAUGACAACACAGAAACAUGAUUGGUAUGUUACAAGUACAAACAUGAGAAGACUUCAUGAUGACUUCAAAAGACUUUGUAAAGAGCGUUUUCAUACUUGCGAAAACGGUAUCUUUGUUGUAACCCGAAUCAACAAUUAUACAUGAACUAAACUAUAUGAACUAAAUAGAAGUGCUAUAUGAACUAAAUAGAAAAAUUAUGAUCAUGAUUAGAUACUAAUCAAUGUAAACCAAUAGAAAUAACCAAUUGUUGCAUAAUUAAUAAGCAAGUUAGGUUGAACUUGUUUUCACUUAACGGUAGUGAGUUGCACAUGAUGAUAUAAUAAUUGUCAAACUUAUUAAUAUCAUAAGGCUACCAUUCAGCAAAGCAAUAACAUGAGAUGAGUGAACACGUCUUUAGAGUUGUUUGAUAAUUUAAACCACAACAAUAAUUCUACCGUGACACAUAUGUGCAGUUUGAAAGUUAUUAAAGCAUGUUAUGAUUUAAUAAGAGAGCUUAUCUUUGUGGUGAAGAGCAAACAAGCGUCCGAGGUUGCCGAACUUUGUUUGUAUCUUGGUGAAGAAGCUACCAUAAGCAUCACUUCAAGACCUUGGUAUCGUCAUAACAACUUGUGGCCGAGAAUACAAGAAGAAUCAAACUCUUCUCAUCUCCAGUCGCCAAGAAUCUUGACUUGUGCUGUUGAGGUUGCUAAGUCCCGCCAUUGUCUAAGCUCUCGGAGACGGUUGUAGUGAGCUCAGAGGGAAUUGCUCUAAAAACUGGUCCUCUCAUCUGAGUUGAGAUGAUGAUGAGCUCGGUGUAUCAUACAGCAAGUUGAACAGCUCGUUCUUAGAGAAAGAGAAUGGCAAUUACGAGAUCAUAAACAUGCCGAGCUGUUUUAGAUCUUCAUCUAUAAUCUCUUUCGUUUAUAUUCUUCUCGGCACUUGAUUGGAAAGAGGUGAUGCUGAUAAUCAUGUGACUGAACUCGUUGCGGUGUUGGAGACGCACACAUUCACACGUUUGAGGAAUUCAUCAUUCUUGAUAGCAAUACACCGAGAUCAGGCUGAUUGUCGAGUUGCUGGAAUCUGAAGAUAAGGUCGUGUCUCAUGUGCUGUUUCUUCUUGACGAGGAGUUUGUGCCGGUUGUGGCAAGCUUAUGGAGCUUUUCCAAUAUCAAACCAUGGCUGCCGAGAUCACAAUUUGAUUUAUGUGACAAGAAGCUUGAGAACUCUGUAGAGAAUUGUUGAUGGAGAUCAUGCUCUUGCCGAAGUGGCUGGUGAACCCAUGUCGUCACGGCGUGGAUUGGAUUCUUCGCGUCUCUCUCUCUGUCCUCAUGUUCUUCGCGAUUCUGGGAAUAAGCUCGAGCAGUUCCAGAGGCUUCACCGGCGGACGGAGACAAGAUCAAGCUCGUGAGCUUCGCCGAGAUUAAUUCCCAAGCUUUGUUGCAGUCUUUAUGAACCAAAGGAUGAGACGGCAAGCUGAGAACUUGAGGUGAAGCUAGAUCUGGAACGGCUACGAUUGCAGGUUCACCGAGGAUGAGAAAGCUCCGCAUACUACUCAGCUGCUUCGAGAAUGGAAGAGGAAAGAAGAAUCCAUUUUGAUUCUUGAUCUUUUUUUUUUUUUUUUUGUAGAUCUAGGAUUUGAUUUGCCUCGAAGAUAGUUCUCCUUAGCCCCUCCUUCUAGCGCCAAUUGUUUGAUCCAAAAAUGGUAUUUAUAUUUGUGAUGUUUGUUGGAAUCAAUCAAAUAAAAAAUCUAAACAUAAAAGCUUAGAUUUUUGAGGUUUAUAAGAAAUCAACAUAGAAAUCAAAUAGAAAAUAAACAUCAAAAGAGUUUGUUGAUUUAAAAUUGUAUUACAUGUAAGAUAACAAGUGUAAAUAAAUUUAAUAAUCCAUAAACUCUUUGUAGAAUGUGUUUUAAGUCUAAAAUGGAGAGAAGAAGAUCCAUCUAAGAAGGAGAUAGCUCCUUAUUUAUAGAAGGAUGACGCUUAUAACUUUCUAGUAAUAUGGACAUAAUUCAUUGUCUAAUGGGCCUUAAGGGAGGAUGUAAAUCCACCCCCAACAUCUACGAUGAUGUUGACGGCAACAAAUGAGAAAGAGAAUGUGUAGGCAUAUAUAGCUAGGUUUAGAAGUUGAUUAAUUAAAUAACUAAACCAACACCACUGGUUCGUAUAAGGGUUUGGUUCAAUAAAUAAUUAAAUAAACCAGGCUAUGGUUUUAUAAGAAUUGGGUCGUUACAAGCACGUCCUGGAGAUUCGAGACGAGCGCGGCCGACAAGCCGUUGUUCUUCGAGGUCAUCGUGUCGAAAGAGAGAACACGCAGAUGAGGUGGGUCCUGUCUUGAAGAAGAAGAAGAAAGUUGGGAGAGGGAGAGAGAGCGGGUCUAACGGACGAAAGAGAGAAGCUUUAAUUGGCAGAGAGAGAGAGAUUACUUGUGUCAACUGUUAUCUCGUUUUAGAUUGAGAAGAAGAAGAACAGUGACGCGCUAUUUUUUUCCAACCAGAAAACAUAAAUAUUAAUAAGUAUACAAUUUAAGUGAAUAAAAUAUUUAUUUUAGUAAUAUUUUAGUUAAUUAGCCAUAUAAAUACAUAAACCUUAUAAUUAAAAUAAAUUAUUUGGAAUAGUAUUUCUUACAAGUUAA
RNAcentral lists this long non-coding RNA (10301 nucleotides) under Brassica rapa (field mustard). RNAcentral describes it as "long non-coding RNA (BRAP_LNC001074)". The record is from RNAcentral. Lineage: Eukaryota; Viridiplantae; Streptophyta; Magnoliopsida; Brassicales; Brassicaceae.